UGAGGAUAAUACUUGAUAGAUGUGAGACCCUGGAAGGAACCCACAUUCAAACUCGAGCUUAAGGAUGGGGCUGCGGCGGAUUAGGUAGUUGGCGGGGUAAUAGCCCACCAAGCCUGUGAUCCGUAAGGGCUCUUAGCGGAGAGGCCCUGAGAGGGAAUCUGAGACACUAUUCCCAGCCCUACGGGGUGCAGCAGGUAGGAAUCUUUUGCAAUGCGCGCAAGCGUGACAAAGCGAGCCAGAGUGUUUUUCAAUGAAAAACUUUUGCCAAAUGCAAAAAGUUUGGCGAAUAAGGACUGGGUAAGACGAGUGCCAGCCGCCGCGGUAAUCCUCGCGGUCCAAGUCGCAGCCAUCAUUAUUGGGNCUAAAACAUCCGUAGCUUGUUUGGUAAGUUCCUUGUGAAAUCUUGUCUCUUAAGGGCAAGGCGUGCGGGGAAUACUGCUGAACUAGAGACUGGAAGACGUAAGAAGUAUGUUCAAAGGAGCGGUUAAAUGUGUUAAUCUUGAGCAGACUCACAACAGCGAAGGCAUCUUACGAGGACAGUUCUGACAGUAAAGGAUGAAGGCUAGGGGCGCAAAACGGAUUAGAUACCCGUGUAGUCCUAGCAGUAAACACUGCGCACUAAACAUUAGUACCUCUUCGAGAGGUAUUGGUGCUG
This 655-nucleotide ribosomal RNA is filed under the name uncultured euryarchaeote. RNAcentral describes it as "bacterial SSU rRNA". It matches the Rfam family "Archaeal small subunit ribosomal RNA", at positions 141 to 803 of the family's 1478-position model. Lineage: Archaea; Methanobacteriati; Methanobacteriota. The record is from RNAcentral.